AGAAAGUUAGCUCAUUAUGGCAAGAGCGCUUGCUUAGAAAGCAGGAGAUUGCAGGUUCAAAUCCCGCACUUUCAA
Molecule: transfer RNA, 75 nt
Filed under: Calothrix sp. 336/3
Lineage: Bacteria; Bacillati; Cyanobacteriota; Cyanophyceae; Nostocales; Calotrichaceae
Rfam family: tRNA
About the family: Transfer RNA (tRNA) molecules are approximately 80 nucleotides in length. Their secondary structure includes four short double-helical elements and three loops (D, anti-codon, and T loops).
Source: Rfam by way of RNAcentral